RNAcentral lists this ribosomal RNA (254 nucleotides) under uncultured Armatimonadota bacterium. RNAcentral describes it as "uncultured Armatimonadetes bacterium partial 16S ribosomal RNA". It matches the Rfam family "Bacterial small subunit ribosomal RNA", at positions 524 to 776 of the family's 1533-position model. Lineage: Bacteria; Bacillati; Armatimonadota. The record is from RNAcentral.
UACGUAGGGGGCAAGCGUUGUCCGGAUUUACUGGGCGUAAAGGGCGCGUAGGCGGUCCGUUAAGCGUGGAGUGAAAUUCCCAGGGCUCAACCCGGGAACUGCUCUGCGAACUGGCGGACUGGAGGAAGGCAGAGGUGAGUGGAAUUCCCGGUGUAGCGGUGACAUGCAUUGAUAUCGGGAGGAACACCCAUGGCGAAGGCAGCUCACUGGGCCUUUCCUGACGCUGAGGCGCGAAAGCGUGGGUAGCAAACAGA